AUGGUACAUAAAAAUUUGAGGGAAUGAUCUUACUUGAAUAGUCGUACUCAUAACCGCAGCAGGUCUCCAAGGUUAGAAGCCUCUAGUUGGCAGAAUAAUGUAGGUAAGGGAAGUCGGCAAAAUAGAUCUGUAACUUCGGGAAAAAGAUUGGCUCUAAAGGCUGAGUAUAUGGGCUAUAUUUUGAAGUUGUUGGAGAUUAGAUUAUUACGAUUGGCUGUCAUGGUUGGUUGUGAUGGUUUAGUUAAAGAUGAUGGAGGGGUAUAGGCAAUUGUAAAGGUUGUGCUGUAUACAAUUAACAGCUAAUUUAGAACUGUUACUGACCAGGGGAAUCCGACUGUUUAAUUAAAACAAAAGCAUUGUGAUGUUCUCAAUAAGGAUUUUAACACAAUGUGAUUUCUUGCCC
RNAcentral lists this ribosomal RNA (403 nucleotides) under uncultured eukaryote. RNAcentral's name for it is "eukaryotic LSU rRNA". It matches the Rfam family "Eukaryotic large subunit ribosomal RNA", at positions 1798 to 2203 of the family's 3401-position model. The record is from RNAcentral.